UACAAACAGGCAUGCCCAAACUAAAGAUUCACAACCAAAACGAACUGUUACAGAACCGACUAGUUUCCUAUCUGAGGGAAUGGUCUUGAUGGCAUCUGCUUUGAUGAUGAGAUCUACUGGGAUGUGAUACUGUACUAAAUCAUUAAAGACUAAAUGCAUUAAUAUCAUGAAGACUGCAAAGCCAUUUUGGAACUAUCUUUCUGAAGUUACCUGAGGAUGAAGAGAACAAUCCACCUACCGUGGAGUACAAUAACCACAUGCGGAACCAGGCCGUAACAAUCAAAUUCCUCAGUGGAACAGUCAGAACUAGAGCCUGACGUCAUCUCCCCCCUGCACUUUCAACUGAUGAUCCUAUCCUACACUGACAUCUGCUGGACAGAAACCAGUUCUCUCUUCCUCAUCACCGUACACUGUUCUGUUCAUGGAAUUUAUAGUACAUUUUAACUACUUAAUUUAAUGAAAUCACAUUGUAACCACAUGUAACCUGUUUGUUCUAAAUGUGUUAUUUCUGGUUCAUUCUAAUCUCUACGUUAUAAAGCAUUUUAUUAAAUCUA
This is a long non-coding RNA of Salmo salar (Atlantic salmon), 554 nucleotides long. RefSeq lists it as uncharacterized. The record is from RefSeq and is a predicted model, not a curated record. NCBI's taxonomy places the organism in Eukaryota, Metazoa, Chordata, Actinopteri, Salmoniformes, Salmonidae.